AUGAACGCUGGCGGCGUGCCUAAUACAUGCAAGUCGAGCGAACAGGCGAGGAGCUUGCUCCUCUGACGUUAGCGGCGGACGGGUGAGUAACACGUGGAUAACCUACCUAUAAGACUGGGAUAACUUCGGGAAACCGGAGCUAAUACCGGAUAAUAUAUUGAACCGCAUGGUUCAAUAGUGAAAGACGGUUUUGCUGUCACUUAUAGAUGGAUCCGCGCCGCAUUAGCUAGUUGGUAAGGUAACGGCUUACCAAGGCAACGAUGCGUAGCCGACCUGAGAGGGUGAUCGGCCACACUGGAACUGAGACACGGUCCAGACUCCUACGGGAGGCAGCAGUAGGGAAUCUUCCGCAAUGGGCGAAAGCCUGACGGAGCAACGCCGCGUGAGUGAUGAAGGUCUUCGGAUCGUAAAACUCUGUUAUUAGGGAAGAACAAAUGUGUAAGUAACUAUGCACGUCUUGACGGUACCUAACCAGAAAGCCACGGCUAACUACGUG
Molecule: ribosomal RNA, 496 nt
Filed under: uncultured bacterium
Lineage: Bacteria
Description: partial 16S ribosomal RNA
Rfam family: Bacterial small subunit ribosomal RNA
Source: RNAcentral